UAAUACAGAGGUCUCAAGCGUUAAUCGGAAUCACUGGGCUUAAAGGGUGCGUAGGCGGCCCCGAAAGCGUCGUGUGAAAGCCCCUGGCUCAACCAGGGAACAGCACGGCGAACUACGGGGCUUGAGAAAACUAGGGGCCGACAGAACAGUAGGUGGAGCGGUGAAAUGCGUAGAUAUCUACUGGAAUGCCGAUGGUGAAGACGGUCGGCUGGGGUUUUUCUGACGCUGAGGCACGAAAGCGUGGGGAGCAAACAGGAUUAGAUACCCUGGUAGUCCACGCCGUAAACGAUGCACACUAGACCGGUGCGGCUCUGACGCCGGAUCGGUCGCCGUAAAAACAUUAAGUGUGCCGCCUGGGGAGUACGGUCGCAAGGCUA
This 377-nucleotide ribosomal RNA is filed under the name uncultured bacterium. RNAcentral describes it as "bacterial SSU rRNA". It matches the Rfam family "Bacterial small subunit ribosomal RNA", at positions 521 to 896 of the family's 1533-position model. The record is from RNAcentral.